RNAcentral lists this ribosomal RNA (314 nucleotides) under uncultured bacterium. Its description in RNAcentral is "partial 16S ribosomal RNA". It matches the Rfam family "Bacterial small subunit ribosomal RNA", at positions 499 to 807 of the family's 1533-position model. The record is from RNAcentral.
GUAUAAGAGACAGCAGUAGCCGCGGUAAUACGUAGGGUGCGAGCGUUAAUCGGAAUUACUGGGCGUAAAGCGUGCGCAGGCGGUUCGUUAAGACAGAUGUGAAAUCCCCGGGCUUAACCUGGGAACUGCAUUUGUGACUGACGGGCUAGAGUAUGGCAGAGGGGGGUAGAAUUCCACGUGUAGCAGUGAAAUGCGUAGAGAUGUGGAGGAAUACCGAUGGCGAAGGCAGCCCCCUGGGCCAAUACUGACGCUCAUGCACGAAAGCGUGGGGAGCAAACAGGAUUAGAUACCCCAGUAGUCCCUGUCUCUUAUAC